GACGAACGCUGGCGGCGUGCUUAACACAUGCAAGUCGAACGGAAAGGCCCUGCUUUUGUGGGGUGCUCGAGUGGCGAACGGGUGAGUAACACGUGAGUAACCUGCCCUUGACUUUGGGAUAACUUCAGGUAACUGGGGCUAAUACCGGAUAGGAGCUCCUGCUGCAUGGUGGGGGUUGGAAAGUUUCGGCGGUGGGGGAUGGACUCGCGGCUUAUCAGCUUGUUGGUGGAGUAGUGGCUUACCAAGGCUUUGACGGGUAGCCGGCCUGGGAGGGUGACCGGCCACGUGGGGCCCAAGGUACGGACCAGUACCGUACGGGGGGCCGCAGUGGAGAGAAUAGCCCAAUAGGCGGACGCCUGAUCUCGCGGCGUCGCGUGCGGAAUGACGGGCUUCGGGUGCCAAACCGCUUUCGCCUGUGCCGCAGCGUGAGUGACGGUAAUGGGUAAGGAAGCACCGGCUAACUACGUG
RNAcentral lists this ribosomal RNA (468 nucleotides) under uncultured bacterium. RNAcentral describes it as "partial 16S ribosomal RNA". It matches the Rfam family "Bacterial small subunit ribosomal RNA", at positions 28 to 507 of the family's 1533-position model. The record is from RNAcentral.